GACCUUCCUAGUAACUUGCCAGGACUUAUCCUCACAUCUGAACAUUGUAAUGAAGGUGUACAGCUUCCUCUGUCAUCUCUGUCCCAGGAUAGCAAACUUGUGUAUAUUCAGCUGUUAUGGGAUAAUAUCAACCUUCAUCAGGAACCAAGAGAACCUCUGUAUGUCUCAUGGAGGAAUUUUAAUUCUGAAAAGAAAUCAUCUCUCCUGUCAGAGGAACAACAAGAAACAAGCACUUUAGUAGAAACCAUCAGGCAGAGUAUUCAGCACAAUAAUGUUCUUAAACCCAUCAACCUACUUUCACAGCAAAUGAAGCCAGGCAUGAAAAGACAAAGGUAAUAAUCCAGUAUUUUUUGCUUGCCACCACUCAGUCAUUUCAUGUUUUUAAAAAAAUAUCUUACUUUUAAAAAUAUCUCUAGUUGUCGAAGAAACACAUACUCAUUGCAAAACAUCUAUUGUUUUAAGUGCUACACAGAUAUAUACAUUCCUACUUGAACACAAACACAUAAUAAAAGUGUCUGGGGGCUUGGCACGGUGGCUCACACCUGUAAUCCCAGCACUUUGGGUGGCCAAAGCAGGAGGAUUGCUUGCUUGAGCUCAGGAGUUUGAGACUGGACUGAGCAACAUAGCAAGACCCCAUCUCUACAAAAAAUAAUUUGUCAGGGGUGGUAUGUGCCUGUGACCUCAGCUACUUGAGAGGGUAAGACAGGAGGAUUUCUUGAGCCCAGGAGGUCCAGGUUACAGUCAGCUGUGAUCACACCGCUGCACUGCCACCUGGGUGACAACAGCAAAACCCUGUCUC
This 799-nucleotide long non-coding RNA is filed under the name Homo sapiens (human). RNAcentral's name for it is "HSALNT0147228". Lineage: Eukaryota; Metazoa; Chordata; Mammalia; Primates; Hominidae. The record is from RNAcentral.